UGUCCAGCCUCUUAUAAUUGUAGCAAACAAAUGUGAUGUGAAGAGAAUAGCUGAACUUUCUGAAGAUGAUCAGAAAAUAUUUAUAGGUUUGCAGGCUGAAGGCUUCCCUGUGAUAGAGACCAGCACGCUGACUGAGGAAGGUGUCAUUAAAGUGAAAACAGAGGCUUGCGACAGGCUUUUGGCUCAUCGAGUGGAAACCAAAAUGAAGGGCAACAAGGUGAACGAGGUGCUGAACAGACUGCACUUGGCU
This is a long non-coding RNA of Propithecus coquereli (Coquerel's sifaka), 250 nucleotides long. RefSeq lists it as uncharacterized. NCBI's taxonomy places the organism in Eukaryota, Metazoa, Chordata, Mammalia, Primates, Indriidae. The record is from RefSeq and is a predicted model, not a curated record. The transcript is spliced from 3 exons.